AGUGAACGCUGGCGGUAGGCCUAACACAUGCAAGUCGAACGGCAGCACAGUAAGAGCUUGCUCUUACGGGUGGCGAGUGGCGGACGGGUGAGGAAUACAUCGGAAUCUACUUUUUCGUGGGGGAUAACGUAGGGAAACUUACGCUAAUACCGCAUACGACCUACGGGUGAAAGCAGGGGAUCUUCGGACCUUGCGCGAUUGAAUGAGCCGAUGUCGGAUUAGCUAGUUGGCGGGGUAAAGGCCCACCAAGGCGACGAUCCGUAGCUGGUCUGAGAGGAUGGUCAGCCACACUGGAACUGAGACACGGUCCAGGCUCCUGCGGGAGGCAGCAGUGGGGAAUAUUGGACAAUGGGCGCAAGCCUGAUCCAGCCAUACCGCGUGGGUGAAGAAGGCCUUCGGGUUGUAAAGCCCUUUUGUUGGGAAAGAAAAGCAGCAGGUUAAUACCCCGCUGUUCUGACGGUACCCAAAGAAUAAGCACCGGCUAACUUCGUG
Molecule: ribosomal RNA, 492 nt
Filed under: uncultured bacterium
Lineage: Bacteria
Description: partial 16S ribosomal RNA
Rfam family: Bacterial small subunit ribosomal RNA
Source: RNAcentral